This 253-nucleotide ribosomal RNA is filed under the name uncultured Acidobacteriota bacterium. Its description in RNAcentral is "uncultured Acidobacteria bacterium partial 16S ribosomal RNA". It matches the Rfam family "Bacterial small subunit ribosomal RNA", at positions 524 to 776 of the family's 1533-position model. RNAcentral also lists the same sequence under 1 other name. Lineage: Bacteria; Pseudomonadati; Acidobacteriota. The record is from RNAcentral.
UACGGGGGGGGCAAGCGUUGUUCGGAAUUACUGGGCGUAAAGGGUUCGUAGGUGGCUCGCUAAGUCAGACGUGAAAUCCCUCAGCUUAACUGGGGAACUGCGUCUGAUACUGAUGAGCUUGAGUGCAGGAGAGGAACGCGGAAUUCCAGGUGUAGCGGUGAAAUGCGUAGAUAUCUGGAGGAACACCGGUGGCGAAGGCGGCGUUCUGGACUGUAACUGACACUGAACAACGAAAGCCAGGGGAGCAAACGGG